CCUACGGGUGGCAGCAGUGAGGAAUAUUGGUCAAUGGCCGUAAGGCUGAACCAGCCAAGUAGCGUGAGGGAAGACUGCCCUAUGGGUUGUAAACCUCUUUUAUGCGGGGAUAAAGGUGUCCACGUGUGGAUGUUUGCAGUUACCGCAUGAAUAAGGACCGGCUAAUUCCGUGCCAACACCCGCGGUAAUACGGAGGAUGCGAGCGUUAUCCGGAUUUAUUGGGUUUAAGGGGUGCGCAGGCGGUCUGUUAAGUCAGCGGUCAAAGCCCGGGGCUCAACCCCGGCCAGCCGUUGAAACUGGCAGUCUAGAGUGGGAGAGAAGUAUGCGGAAUGCGCGGUGUAGCGGUGAAAUGCUUAGAUAUGACGCAGAACCCCGAUUGCGAAGGCAGCUUGCUGCAGCGGAACUGACGCUGAGGCUCGAAAGCGCGGGUAUCGAACAGGAUUAGAUACCCGAGUAGUC
RNAcentral lists this ribosomal RNA (459 nucleotides) under uncultured bacterium. RNAcentral's name for it is "partial 16S ribosomal RNA". It matches the Rfam family "Bacterial small subunit ribosomal RNA", at positions 338 to 795 of the family's 1533-position model. The record is from RNAcentral.